This 497-nucleotide ribosomal RNA is filed under the name uncultured bacterium. RNAcentral's name for it is "partial 16S ribosomal RNA". It matches the Rfam family "Bacterial small subunit ribosomal RNA", at positions 29 to 507 of the family's 1533-position model. The record is from RNAcentral.
UAUGAACGCUGGCGGCGUGCCUAAUACAUGCAAGUCGAGCGAACAGAUGAGGAGCUUGCUCCUCUGACGUUAGCGGCGGACGGGUGAGUAACACGUGGAUAACCUACCUAUAAGACUGGGAUAACUUCGGGAAACCGGAGCUAAUACCGGAUAAUAUAUUGAACCGCAUGGUUCAAUAGUGAAAGACGGUUUUGCUGUCACUUAUAGAUGGAUCCGCGCCGCAUUAGCUAGUUGGUAAGGUAACGGCUUACCAAGGCAACGAUGCGUAGCCGACCUGAGAGGGUGAUCGGCCACACUGGAGCUGAGACACGGUCCAGACUCCUACGGGAGGCAGCAGUAGGGAAUCUUCCGCAAUGGGCGAAAGCCUGACGUAGCAACGCCGCGUGAGUGAUGAAGGUCUUCGGAUCGUAAAACUCUGUUAUUGGGGAAGAACAAAUGUGUAAGUAACUAUGCACGUCUUGACGGUACCUAAUCAGAAAGCCACGGCUAACUACGUG